This is a long non-coding RNA of Engraulis encrasicolus (European anchovy), 287 nucleotides long. RefSeq lists it as uncharacterized. NCBI's taxonomy places the organism in Eukaryota, Metazoa, Chordata, Actinopteri, Clupeiformes, Engraulidae. The record is from RefSeq and is a predicted model, not a curated record. The transcript is spliced from 3 exons.
CAAGCCACAAAGAAGCCAUCUACCGCGGUCAACAACACUUCCUGAUUGAACAGAAUCACGCGCUGUCUGUGUGGUUUCACUGUUACAAGUUUCUUGGCGAUAUGGGGGGAAAGUUCCUCACAUACCAACGGAAAAUGGGCUUCACAUACAUGCUGCUGUCUCAUAAUAUGGCGAAGACGAGUCACCUGAAGGCCUAACUCGCCAUAGAAGACUGAAAGAAUUGUCCUGCAGGAUGCUGUGUCCUGCAAUCCUGUGUGCUGUGCUACAGACGCGUGUGGAGGUCAACC